RNAcentral lists this ribosomal RNA (403 nucleotides) under uncultured bacterium. RNAcentral describes it as "bacterial SSU rRNA". It matches the Rfam family "Bacterial small subunit ribosomal RNA", at positions 359 to 774 of the family's 1533-position model. The record is from RNAcentral.
GAAUAUUGCACAAUGGGCGGAAGCCUGAUGCAGCGACGCCGCGUGGGGGAUGACGGUCUUCGGAUUGUAAACCCCUUUCAGUAGGGACGAAGCGCAAGUGACGGUACCUGCAGAAGAAGCACCGGCCAACUACGUGCCAGCCGCCGCGGUAAUACGUAGGGUGCGAGCGUUGUCCGGAAUUACUGGGCGUAAAGAGCUCGUAGGCGGUUUGUCACGUCGUCUGUGAAAUCCUCCAGCUUAACUGGGGGCGUGCAGGCGAUACGGGCAGACUUGAGUACUACAGGGGAGACUGGAAUUCCUGGUGUAGCGGUGAAAUGCGCAGAUAUCAGGAGGAACACCGAUGGCGAAGGCAGAUCUCUGGGCCGUAACUGACGCUGAGGAGCGAAAGCAUGGGGAGCGAACA